UCUGGGGUGGCUGUAGUAUAUUGGUAGUAUAUUAGUAGUGUGUGAAUAGGGUCUGGGGUGGCUGUAGUAUAUUAGUAGUAUAUUAGCAGUGUGUGAAUAGGGUCUGGGGUGGCUGUAGUAUAUUAGUAGUAUAUUAGUAGUGUGUGAAUAGGGGCUUGGGUGGCUGUAAUAUAUUAGUAGUGUGUGAAUAGGGUCUGGGGUGGCUGUAGUAUAUUAGUAGUAUAUUAGCAGUGUGUGAAUAGGGUCUGGGGUGGCUGUAGUAUAUUAGUAGUAUAUUAGCAGUGUGUGAAUAGGGUCUGGGGUGGCUGUAGUAUAUUAGUAGUAUAUUAGUAGUGUGUGAAUAGGGUCUGGGGUGGCUGUAGUAUAUUAGUAGUGUGUGAAUAGGGUCUGGGGUGGCUGUAGUAUAUUAGUAGUAUAUUAGUAGUGUGUGAAUAGGGUCUGGGGUGGAUGUAGUAUAUUAGUAGUAUAUUAGUAGUGUGUGAAUAGGGUCUGGGGUGGCUGUAGUGUAUUAGUAGUGUGUGAAUAGGGUCUGGGGUGGCUGUAGUGUAUUAGUAGUGUGUGAAUAGGGUCUGGGGUGGCUGUAGUAUAUUAGUAGUAUAUUAGUAGUGUGUGAAUAGGGUCUGGGGUGGCUGUAGUAUAUUAGUAGUAUAUUAGUAGUGUGUGAAUAGGGUCUGGGGUGGCUGUAGUAUAUUAGUAGUAUAUUAGUAGUGUGUGAAUAGGGUCUGGGG
Oncorhynchus tshawytscha (Chinook salmon) is the source of this 728-nucleotide long non-coding RNA. The record is from Ensembl. Lineage: Eukaryota; Metazoa; Chordata; Actinopteri; Salmoniformes; Salmonidae.